Molecule: non-coding RNA, 106 nt
Filed under: Pseudorhodoferax sp. Leaf267
Lineage: Bacteria; Pseudomonadati; Pseudomonadota; Betaproteobacteria; Burkholderiales; Comamonadaceae
Also listed under: 1 other name
Description: TPP riboswitch aptamer (THI element)
Rfam family: TPP riboswitch aptamer (THI element)
About the family: Vitamin B(1) in its active form thiamin pyrophosphate (TPP) is an essential coenzyme that is synthesised by coupling of pyrimidine and thiazole moieties in bacteria. The previously detected thiamin-regulatory element, thi box was extended, resulting in a new, highly conserved RNA secondary structure, the THI element, which is widely distributed in eubacteria and also occurs in some archaea. Analysis of operon structures identified a large number of new candidate thiamin-regulated genes, mostly transporters, in various prokaryotic organisms.
Source: Rfam by way of RNAcentral
GCGCCCGCUCCGGGGUGCACGCUGCGAUACGUGCUGAGAUGGCUCAAGCCAAACCCGCGAACUUGAACCGGUUAGUACCGGCGUAAGAAGAGCUGCAUCAUCUCGG